UACGAAGGGUGCAAGCGUUACUCGGAAUCACUGGGCGUAAAGGGUGCGUAGGCGGGUUUUUAAGUCAGAGGUGAAAUCCUGGAGCUCAACUCCAGAACUGCCUUUGAUACUGAAAGUCUUUGAGUAUGGGAGAGGUGAGUGGAACUGCGAGUGUAGAGGUGAAAAUUCGUAGAUAUUCGCAAGAACACCAGUGGCGAAGGCGGCUCACUGGCCCUAACUG
RNAcentral lists this ribosomal RNA (220 nucleotides) under uncultured bacterium. RNAcentral describes it as "partial 16S ribosomal RNA". It matches the Rfam family "Bacterial small subunit ribosomal RNA", at positions 524 to 742 of the family's 1533-position model. The record is from RNAcentral.